This is a non-coding RNA of Brachypodium distachyon (stiff brome), 125 nucleotides long. The record is from Rfam. Lineage: Eukaryota; Viridiplantae; Streptophyta; Magnoliopsida; Poales; Poaceae.
CAUGUACUUCCUCCGUCCCAUAUUAAGUGACACAAAUUUGCCCAAAUAUGGAUGUAGUUAUGCCUAAAAAGCGUCUAGAUACAUGUAAUAGAAAGUCACUUAAUAUGGGACGGAGGGAGUAUAUG